UAUCUCAUUAAGCAAACUAAUCCAAACUAUCCACAAAAGCUAACUGUCACCACGCCACCACACCACCACCUACGCCUGUCUGUCCACUCCCAAGUCCUACUCAUAUGAGAAACAUGAGGCCGAGUGCAAACACACAUACUACUGUGAACUACAUACAGCUACAUGGUUCCCAGUAUUCUCGACACCAACUCUAUUCAAUCUGCUAUGUAGAAACGCAGCAACUUCAAUGGUUUCACACCUUUUCCUAGCACAAAUAAAUCAAAAGACUAAAACUUGAAUUUUCUAUUGACUCUAGUUAAUCUCAAUUUUAAAAGGAAAUCAGGUGCAGUAACCUACAAAAACCUCAAUUCCUUCUUCAGAUUGGGAAGGGAAAUGAAAUCCCGUCGAGCAAUUCUCCAACAUUUUUAGGGGUUUCUAAACGAGUUUGUACAAGAGAAGAAACUAGCUCUUUCACUCCGUACUGUACAAGAGAGCCGAGAGAUUUUUUUUUAUUGCACUGAAAUUGAAUUGCAAAGCCAAUUAUUACGGAUUCCUUUAACCUCAUUUCAUCAAUCACAGGAGAAAAUUCACAAAACAUUGAGCAGCACAGGGAAGAGUUCAAACUUCAAAUAUCUAUAAUAUCGUAAGCAUUACCUAAUUCAAAAUUACCUAAAUUUUAGAGGGAUGAUGGUUGGUACUUGCCUUGGUACUGGUAGUAGCAGUGUCCUCGACGGUGGUGAUAGGGUGAUGAUGGUGGUUGCGACGGCGGAGGUGGUGAUGGGGGGGUGAUGAUGUUGGUCGGAGUCAAGGUGAGCACUGUGAGUCGGAGUCGCGACAGCGCUGUGAGAGUGGUGAGCACUGUGAGUCGG
This 848-nucleotide long non-coding RNA is filed under the name Malus domestica (apple). Its description in RNAcentral is "long non-coding RNA (MDOM_LNC012289)". Lineage: Eukaryota; Viridiplantae; Streptophyta; Magnoliopsida; Rosales; Rosaceae. The record is from RNAcentral.